This 381-nucleotide ribosomal RNA is filed under the name Butyrivibrio sp. RNAcentral describes it as "partial 23S ribosomal RNA". It matches the Rfam family "Bacterial large subunit ribosomal RNA", at positions 2537 to 2925 of the family's 2925-position model. The record is from RNAcentral. Lineage: Bacteria; Bacillati; Bacillota; Clostridia; Lachnospirales; Lachnospiraceae.
UCAUCGCAUCCUGGGGCUGUAGCAGGUCCCAAGGGUUGGGCUGUUCGCCCAUUAAAGCGGUACGCGAGCUGGGUUCAGAACGUCGUGAGACAGUUCGGUCCCUAUCCGGCGCAGGCGUAGGAUAUUUGAGAGGAGCUGUCCUUAGUACGAGAGGACCGGGAUGGACGGACCACUGGUGCACCUGUUGGCAUCCAAUGCCAUGGCAGGGUAGCCAAGUCCGGCAGGGAUAAACGCUGAAGGCAUCUAAGCGUGAAGCCCCCCUCAAGAUGAGAUAUCCCAAUAAGUAAGACCCCUUGAAGACGACGAGGUAGAUAGGGCCAAGGUGGAAGUGCAGCAAUGUAUGGAGCUGAUGGCUACUAAUCGGUCGAGGGCUUAUCCUGA